This 486-nucleotide long non-coding RNA is filed under the name Dromaius novaehollandiae (emu). Its description in RNAcentral is "lncRNA (ENSDNVG00000003977.1)". Lineage: Eukaryota; Metazoa; Chordata; Aves; Casuariiformes; Dromaiidae. The record is from RNAcentral.
AGUAAUCCUGACAAAGUUGAAAUUCUUACUCCAGAACUUAAGACACUUUAAAGAAAAAGGAUGGAGCUUUGAAAUUGCCAGUCGAAAUGUACUGUCUUUCCAAUAUUAUGAACUGAUCACCUCUGUUCUGCUGAGGCACGGAAGCUGAUGCUGAUAGAGAAGCUGUCCUCUGCUUCGUUCACUCAGGAAAGAUAUCACUCUACAGCAGUAACUUCCACAUAACUGCAGGGAGUGUUUUGAUAAACCACAGAAGCAGAGCAAGCCAUGUGCACAAAGCCACAGCUGGACUAGUUAGGGGCUUGCUCAGAAAUUGYCUGGGACCUCUUUGGAAGGUGCUUGAAGAGAGCUCUGGGCCUCCAUCAAGUCCUGCUCACGCCCUGUAGACUCAGAGCAUUUCUUUCACUCUGUUAUCAUAAUAUCUUUGAGAAUCAUUACUGUCUUUUGUAGGGAUCAUUAUAUUAAAAUAAAUUAUAUUUAUAUAUAAUG